UUCUAGCCCCGAUUGAACGGUUUGUUUGAGCUCUUUUUAGAAAUUUUCUUAGAGGAAUGGUUUGGCAAAAAUUUCUAAAAAAGCGAGUAGUGAAAGCGGGACAUUAG
RNAcentral lists this unclassified non-coding RNA (107 nucleotides) under Cloacibacterium normanense. RNAcentral's name for it is "Flavo-1 RNA". The record is from RNAcentral. Lineage: Bacteria; Pseudomonadati; Bacteroidota; Flavobacteriia; Flavobacteriales; Weeksellaceae.